AUGGUGGUCCGGCGAGAGCUUACACUGGAUGGUGGUCCGGCGACGGCACAACGUGGGACGUGGAUGAUCUUUCUAGAUCCAAGCUUACACUGAAAUGUGUUUUACUGUUUGGGAAUCUGGGAUGACUGCAUUUUAUGUCAGAUUAGUCUCUUGAUUGAAGAAAGAUUUUUUUUUAAUCAAAUCGUGCCUGUUUUAGCCGCCACACCAAAUCGUCUGCAACAAAAAGUCAUACUCGUUCCUCUUGACCAAAAGCUUGACAUGCUAUGGAGUUUCAUUAAAGCGCAUUUGAAUUCAAUAAUUCUUGUUUUUCUUUCUGCCUGCAAGCAGGUGAGGUUUGUACACGAAGCGUUCAAGA
Molecule: long non-coding RNA, 355 nt
Filed under: Helianthus annuus (common sunflower)
Lineage: Eukaryota; Viridiplantae; Streptophyta; Magnoliopsida; Asterales; Asteraceae
Description: sRNA HanXRQr2_Chr13g0569671
Source: RNAcentral